Molecule: long non-coding RNA, 762 nt
Organism: Girardinichthys multiradiatus
Lineage: Eukaryota; Metazoa; Chordata; Actinopteri; Cyprinodontiformes; Goodeidae
Exons: 3
Source: RefSeq, a predicted model, not a curated record
CAUCAUCCGGUGCAAAAACAUUGAACUAUUCACAUUUUCAUUACUUCACUCGAUUCUCCAUGAAUAAUUUCCUGAUGUACUAGGAAGUUGUUAAUGCUCCUUUGUGCACCAGAAUACUUUUAAGAGCUGGGAGAAAAAUUCUAGGAAAAAAAAUGAAUUCACUGAACUGGGCCCUGCAAGGCGGUGACGUGGGCUGUAAGAUCACACCUGGAAACAACUCAUCACUCCACCCCUCUGUAGCCUAUAGGCAUGGGAAAUAAAGCAAAGGCUCUGCCUCUGCUUCCACUUUAUCUGCAGGAUGGGCAUUACCGCAGGCGUCGACAUCCCUAUCUGGCUUGCUGGCCUCUUGUGACAGUCUCCUCUGGGUCAUCCAAGGUUACAAUCAGCAGAAAGGAUGGCUGUGCAGGCUGCAGCUGCUCGGUCUGACCCUGUCUUGGUUCAUUAACGCUGCGUAAGGCAGAUCAUACCACUCCAUCAACAGCACCUGCUGGUCAGGACCGCGACCCAUUCACUUUACAUCUACCUGAUGUUUCCCUGCACAGACCGCUGACAGUGCUGUUGAGACUGUGUUGUGUCACUGUGAAUGCUCUCUCCAGUAAAACGCUGCGGAUGAGCGGCCGUGUUUGUUCAAGGCCAAAUAGAAAAGUGCGAUUCUGCAAACAGCCCUCAGGCAGGGUGUUUCAUAGGUUGCUCAGAAACCAUGACAGAGUUAUAUCACGCAGCUGUGGUAGCACAAUACCUAGUCCACUGUGGUUUUAGAUU